Molecule: ribosomal RNA, 500 nt
Filed under: uncultured bacterium
Lineage: Bacteria
Description: partial 16S ribosomal RNA
Rfam family: Bacterial small subunit ribosomal RNA
Source: RNAcentral
AUUGGACGCUGGCGGCAUGCCUUACACAUGCAAGUCGAACGGCAGCACGGGAGCAAUCCUGGUGGCGAGUGGCGAACGGGUGAGUAAGGUAUCGGAACGUGCCCAGUCGUGGGGGAUAACGUAGCGAAAGUUACGCUAAUACCGCAUACGAUCUAUGGAUGAAAGCGGGGGAUCGCAAGACCUCGCGCGAUUGGAGCGGCCGAUAUCGGAUUAGGUAGUUGGUGGGGUAAAGGCUCACCAAGCCGACGAUCUGUAGCUGGUCUGAGAGGACGACCAGCCACACUGGGACUGAGACACGGCCCAGACUCCUACGGGAGGCAGCAGUGGGGAAUUUUGGACAAUGGGCGCAAGCCUGAUCCAGCCAUGCCGCGUGCAGGAUGAAGGCCUUCGGGUUGUAAACUGCUUUUGUACGGAACGAAAAGGUUUGACUUAAUACGUUGGACUCAUGACGGUACCGUAAGAAUAAGCACCGGCUAACUACGUGCCAGCCGCCGCGGUAA